RNAcentral lists this small RNA (155 nucleotides) under Castor canadensis (American beaver). RNAcentral describes it as "Six3os1 conserved region 6 (ENSCCNG00000007813.1)". Lineage: Eukaryota; Metazoa; Chordata; Mammalia; Rodentia; Castoridae. The record is from RNAcentral.
AGGUUGGCGAGGUGGGCUCGGUGGGCGGCGCGGUGCUUGGCUCUGCGGGGAGACGCAGACAGCCAGGGGCUGCUGCCCGCCCCACCGCGCCUGGCCGGGUCCUGGCUCACAAAGCUGCGCGCCUUGGCGCAGCGCUCCCGGCUUUGCGCUCCCUA